CCCUUAGAUGUUCUGGGCUGCACGCGCGCUACACUGAAGCUAUCAACACGUUUUCCCUCCCUGAGAAGGGCGGGUAACCUUUUGAAUCAGCUUCGUGGUAGGGAUCGGGGCUUGCAAUUGUUCCCCGUGAACCAGGAAUUCCUAGUAGACGCGAGUCAUAAGCUCGCAUCGAUUAAGUCCCUGCCCUUUGUACACACCGCCCGUCGCUACUACCGAUUGAACGUUUUGGUGAGGCAUUUGGACCGACGCAUCUCAGUUUAACCGCUGGUUUGUGUUGGAAAGACUUCCAAACUUGAGCGUUUAGAGGAAGUAAAAGUCGUAACA
Molecule: ribosomal RNA, 324 nt
Filed under: uncultured eukaryote
Lineage: Eukaryota
Description: partial 18S ribosomal RNA
Rfam family: Eukaryotic small subunit ribosomal RNA
Source: RNAcentral